Molecule: small nucleolar RNA, 103 nt
Organism: Arachis stenosperma
Lineage: Eukaryota; Viridiplantae; Streptophyta; Magnoliopsida; Fabales; Fabaceae
Source: RefSeq, a predicted model, not a curated record
AUGUCAGGGGGCAUUUUCUUGUCAAGUCCUUAUACCUUUCUCAUGCUUCAUACAAGGUUUUACCAUCCUGCUGCCUGAAUGUUUGAACCUUUGAUCUCAGCCU